RNAcentral lists this unclassified non-coding RNA (671 nucleotides) under Hevea brasiliensis (rubber tree). The record is from RNAcentral. Lineage: Eukaryota; Viridiplantae; Streptophyta; Magnoliopsida; Malpighiales; Euphorbiaceae.
UCCAUCUUCUUCUUAGCUGCAGGAGGCUGUACCAGUACAUGCAUUGUUAUAACCCCAGCAGGAAGGUCACCAUAGGUUAUUCUGGAAUCAGCAAGUGUCUUACUAUUCUCCAAUAUUUUACCAGCAUGUAUUAGUUUCAAAUCAUUUACUGACUUGGGUAAUACUGUUUUAUCUCGGGGCCACUCUGUAACUAGCCUUUGCUUCAGAGUUCCAACAGUCAUUGAUGACGCAUAAGUACUAUGCCCUAUAUCUGUUCCGUCAUAAAUGCGGAAUUUAAGCUCAAUUUGCUCUGCUCCUUCAGCCAUAAUAACCUUUCUUCUCUUCUGCUCAGUUUGCAGUUACCACACGGUAUCCAAUCAACACAAGAAAAUUUUUAUCUCACUCCACUCACCUCCGUGAAUUGGCCAAAAAGUUUGUUGGGUGUGAAAACAUGAAAAUACGGUACAUCAGAAUCAACUGCUAGAGAACCAAUCCAAUCAAGUAAGCACUUCAUAUGACCCAAUGGAUUCUCUGUAUAACAGCUCCACUCUUGCUGCUUGUUUCUGAUCAAGAUCAAGAAUCCAUGAAAGAAAGAAAGGAAGAUCGCUGGAUCAGCGAGAGUAAAAAGAAACAGAAACAGAAACCGAAACCGAAACAAAUCGCUUAGGGUUCUCAGUUACGGUAUCGGUGCU